RNAcentral lists this long non-coding RNA (1077 nucleotides) under Marmota monax (woodchuck). Lineage: Eukaryota; Metazoa; Chordata; Mammalia; Rodentia; Sciuridae. The record is from RNAcentral.
UCAGCCUUGUUCAGAGGCUCGCCUUCUUCCCAGGAUCAGCAGCAAUCACCAGCCAUGAGUGAGGCUACUGCACUCACUUUCCUUUCUUUCUUUGAGUGAAAUGGGGUUUGCGAGCUAAAGACAAGGAAGAGGAAGACCGUAAGGAGAGAAUACUCAGGGAUGAGCCAUUGAAAGCAUCUGGCAGAAGAAUCUGGAACAGAGGGAGGGGCAAGACAGACCAGGAGUUUCCCAGGGCUGUCUCCCAGGCCAAGAAUUAUCUGGGCUGAGUUUCCUGGAUGGCUGUCCUAAGACCUGUAGCCACUGGGAGGAAAGCCAGGCUGAAAGCUGCACAUAUCCAGGCCUGGGCUGGGCCCCCAGAUGCUGCAGCAGCAGCCAGAACAAUGGAAUUCCCUGGGUCUGGACCCCAUCCAAGGAGGUUCACAUUUUCUGUGAAGACAGUGCUCAUAAGAACUGGCAAGGAGAGGAGAAGGCUGGAGUUCAGGGUUUCUUUGGCGCCCGCUGAGGUGUGGCUGGUGAUGCAGGGGCCACAGAGCCAGCUCAGCACCCAGUUUCCCCCAGACAACUUGACUGAUGAGCCUUGGUCACAGUAAGUUCGCUGGAGUAUUGCUUUCAGUCUGGCCAGGAGGAAUCCAGCCCAUGGCUCUGGAGUCUGGGAGAGAUGCCAGCCAGCAUGGUCCCUAGAGGGCUGCAGAACCAGAGAUGAUGUAAGCGCCUCUUGUGUCCCUAGAGUCACCUCCCCAGCUGCCUCAUCUAUCCAGAAAACCACUGAGAACCUGGAAAUGAGCAGGGAUGGCAUCUAAGCUGCCGAGAACAUGUUCCAAAUCCCAGCACUCCCACUGAGCCUCUUGCUCAGAGUGCUCCCAAGCCCAGUGCAAUCCAAGAGAACAGCCUGGGGGAGGCGGCUGCAAUAGCCACUUCCAUAGGAAGAAGAAACCAUGGUGAUGCCCUCCAGGGCAGGACAAUUAAUCGCCUGCAGGCUGCCCAGUCUGCCACUUGGUUUUGCGGAGAUGAGGGUUGUGCUGAGAGGCAGACUUGGGAUUCACAUCAGUCCUUGCCACCCACUUUGACCCCUUUGCC